UCGUCGAAGACCUGAAGUCUUCGACACAACAAACUCUUUCAAUUGCCUUUGGAAAGUGUGAUCAGCGUAUAAUUAGUUCCAAAGUUCCAACUCUUUCGUUAGGAAGCCUGAUUCAGCUACCAUCCAAGUACAAGCCAAUCCUUCUUCCAUCUAUAUAUUUCCUGGGAGAAUUAGUGAAGUACCCAUAGCUAGUGGUAACACUGAUAGUCGAUCUGUAGCUGCAAGUUCGGAGCAUCCAUCCAUCACACACAAGUUUAAUUCGGAUGGCUAGUUCGAGUUCCACAAAUGAAGUAAUACAAGAUGAAAUUACUGUAAACCAAGCUGCAGAGGAUCUCGAGGCUACAGGGGACAGACGAAUGGAUCCAAAAUUAUACAGGUAUGUAACCACUGGUAAAGUAGACCAAAAAAGUGAUUUCCGGGCAAUAAUUACGGCCCCCUUCUGUAAUCCUUUUUCGGUCUUUAGACAAAGAGUAGAGGUCAUGAUCUACCAAAAAAUCUUGGGCUUUUACGAAUGGCUUCUCCAUAUGUAUACAACCUACUGUUAUUCCGGCUUCAGCAUUCCCUCUGAAGUAGAAUUACUGUUACAAAUAAAUGGAGACAAAGUAAGCCCUGGCCAGAAUACAGUGCUUCACCUUGCGGCAAGUGUAGGCAAUACCCAUCUCGUCACACAGAUACUGGAUCGUUUUCCGAAUCUUGUCAAAGUAAAAAACUAUCGUGGAGAUUCUCCGCUUCAUGUUGCAGCACACGGUGGGCAUCUAUCUACGGUGCGCUGUUUGGUUGAAAAGUUGAAGACACUGAUUGGUGAAGAGAAUGCGGUUGGUGAAGAGACUGCGGUUGAUGAAGAGAAUGGUGAAAAGACUGCGGUUGGUGAACAGAAUGCGGAAGGAAACACAGCGUUACACAUUGCCUUAGAAAAUCACCACAAAAAAGUGGCCAAGUUUUUAGUCGAACAAGAUGGAUUGAUCUCGCAUUCCCAAAAUAAAAGCAAAAAGAUACCGUUGUGCAUGGCUGCGGAAGCUGGAAAUCUUGACCUUGUUCAAGUUAUGGUGGUCAAGACACCAGCUGACAGGGCUUCUGUUUGGAAAGAGUCCAGUGGCUGCUCAAUUUUGCGUGCUGCUAUCGUGGGAAGGAAUAAUGAGUGAAGUGGAGUGGAUCGGAAUCACUGUUGAUUCAUUCUUUCGGUGCGGUGCGGCAAGCAAAAGCAAAAUUAGGCUAUAAUCGAGCUUUGUAAUUUUUUUAAAGAGUUAUGUGCUAAAGUAUUGAGGGCAGAGGAUUUGGAACUUCUUGAGAAAAGUGUGUUCAUAACUCUUUGCAAGUUGGAAAAAGUAUUCCCACCAGCAUUUAAGUUCCAUGUAAGUAAAGCAAUAGAGUGUUGGAGGAAGUUCCAUGUAAGUAAAGCAAAGGAAGGAAAAGAAGAACAUUGGAAAAGUGACAAGGCUAAGGAAAUUUAUGAUGAUCUUACUGAAAGAAAGAAUAGAGUGGAAGAAGUGUUUGGUGAAGCUGAUGAUUGGGAAAUAUAUCAGAAAGUGAUUGGUGGGCCUAGUCACGGUCGUGUACUUGGUUUAGGUGCUGGGGUGAAACUAAAAGAUUACAAUUCACCUAACCAAACUUGUAAUAAGCCUACAUGUUUGGAAGAAAAAGAAGAUUAUGAAAGAGUGAAAGGCCAAGUUGAAUCUCUGACAGAUAAAUUGGACAAGUUGACUCAAAUUGUUCAAAGUUUGCUGCCUAAUACCUUAGACAAUUCUAAAGCAAGAAACUCACAUUCUGUGGACAAUAUUGCAACAGAUUCAAGUGCACACCAUGAUGAAGAUGGUACUGAUGAAGAUGGUACUGAAGAUGUUGCUGAUGAAUAUGAUGCAAACUCUAGUUAAGACUUUUAUUAGAUAUAUUGUUAGCUUCUUUGCUUAAGAAUGAUUAUAUUAUAAAGACCAAAUAUUGAAUAUUUAUCUUUAUCUGAACAUGUAUGAAUGAUUAACUAUGUUUCUUCUAAUGCAAUUUUUUU
Molecule: RNA transcript, 2002 nt
Organism: Rosa chinensis
Lineage: Eukaryota; Viridiplantae; Streptophyta; Magnoliopsida; Rosales; Rosaceae
Gene name: ankyrin-1-like
Exons: 5
Source: RefSeq, a predicted model, not a curated record